This 394-nucleotide ribosomal RNA is filed under the name Boophis luciae. Its description in RNAcentral is "partial 16S ribosomal RNA". It matches the Rfam family "Bacterial large subunit ribosomal RNA", at positions 2037 to 2597 of the family's 2925-position model. Lineage: Eukaryota; Metazoa; Chordata; Amphibia; Anura; Mantellidae. The record is from RNAcentral.
UGAAAUUGAUCUCCCCGUGAAGAAGCGGGGAUAUAAAUAUAAGACGAGAAGACCCCAUGGAGCUUUAAACCCAACAACACCUAUCUAUUUUAUUCCCCCAUAUUUAUACGGUUAUGUUUGUUUGGUUUUAGGUUGGGGUGACCGCGGAGUAUAAAACAACCUCCACGAAGAAAAGACUAAUAAUCUUUAUCAGAGAAAGACAUUUCUAAGAAAUAAUAUAUUAACUUUAAAUGAUCCGAUAUUCGAUUAACGAAUCAAGUUACCCUGGGGAUAACAGCGCAAUCCACCUUAAGAGCCCUUAUCGACAGGUGGGUUUACGACCUCGAUGUUGGAUCAGGGUAUCACAGUGGUGCAGCAGCUACUAAUGGUUCGUUUGUUCAACGAUUAAAACCCU